UUAUUUCUGGGUGCAGGUGCACUAACAGAUGAUGGAGCAGGUCCCCUUUGCCUUUGCUGAAAGGAUGAACGGUUCGCAUUACCUUUCUGUUGCCCGGACUCAUUACCGGUCUUAGCUCUCUUAUUUCUGAACUCUUCUCUGUCCCUCAACUUUUCUUCCUCAACUUGCUGCACAAAGACCAUCAACCUUGACAUGUCCAUGUCCCCAAUAAGCAUUGCAGCCCUACCUUCCUUACUCGACAACCGAGACAGCCCAG
RNAcentral lists this long non-coding RNA (256 nucleotides) under Solanum tuberosum (potato). RNAcentral describes it as "long non-coding RNA (STUB_LNC011642)". Lineage: Eukaryota; Viridiplantae; Streptophyta; Magnoliopsida; Solanales; Solanaceae. The record is from RNAcentral.